CCUACGGGAGGCAGCAGUGGGGAAUAUUGGACAAUGGGGGCAACCCUGAUCCAGCAAUACCGCGUGUGUGAAGAAGGCCUGAGGGUUGUAAAGCACUUUCAAUUGUGAAGAAAAGUUAACGGUUAAUACCCGUUAACCUUGACGUUAACUUUAGAAGAAGCACCGGCUAACUCCGUGCCAGCAGCCGCGGUAAUACGGAGGGUGCAAGCGUUAAUCGGAAUUACUGGGCGUAAAGCGUGCGUAGGCGGUUUAUUAAGUCAGAUGUGAAAGCCCCGGGCUUAACCUGGGAACUGCAUUUGAAACUGGUAAACUAGAGUAUGGUAGAGGAAAGUGGAAUUUCUGGUGUAGCGGUGAAAUGCGUAGAUAUCAGAAGGAACAUCAAUGGCGAAGGCAGCUUUCUGGACCAAUACUGACGCUGAGGUACGAAAGCGUGGGUAGCAAACAGGAUUAGAUACCCUGGUAGUCCACGCCGUAAACGAUGAUAACUAGCCGUUGGGGGGAUUUACCCUUUAGUGGCGAAGCUAACGCGUUAAGUUAUCCGCCUGGGGAGUACGGCCGCAAGGUUAAAACUCAAAUGAAUUGACGG
Molecule: ribosomal RNA, 586 nt
Filed under: uncultured bacterium
Lineage: Bacteria
Description: bacterial SSU rRNA
Rfam family: Bacterial small subunit ribosomal RNA
Source: RNAcentral